Gadus chalcogrammus (walleye pollock) is the source of this 1257-nucleotide long non-coding RNA. RefSeq lists it as uncharacterized. The transcript has 4 exons. The record is from RefSeq and is a predicted model, not a curated record. Lineage: Eukaryota; Metazoa; Chordata; Actinopteri; Gadiformes; Gadidae.
GUUGCCAAGACUGUAUCUGCACUGGCGGAUAUUGGAAUCGUUCGCGAUGUCAACGCUGUAAAAAAAAAAGUGGGCGGACAUCAAAUCUAUUGUAAAAAAGAAGGGAACGGAGAGGGCAAGAGAGUUGAAAAAAACUGGAGGAGGGAAGACCACAAUCCAGCUGGACCCACUGGAGGAGAAAUUGUUGGGGGCGAUUGCCGAAACGUUAGUUGGAGGAGUGGACACCGGAGAACCGGGAGAAGACGAUAGCCUGCAAGCAGGAGAUUCUUUGGUCGUAGUAGCAGUCAACCAGGAUGCAGAACAAUCCCACACAUUCAAUGCAGCUGAACCAACACAAGCCCUCACAAAUCAUCAAAACCUGUUACAGAGUCCCGGGGAUGACCUGACAUUAUCACAGCUAAUCUCGGAAACCUUUCAUACACCUGCCACAUCCAGAAGCAACACAGAGCAUGGGUCGUUCACCACCGAAUCAGUUCGAAUGAACGAAUCUUUAAAGGAGACAUAUUAUACCACCAGGAGACAGUGGCUAUGCCUUAAGACCAUGGUUGAUGACACCCAUCCUUCACCCUGCAACAGAGCCAGAUGAGCGCUACAGCCGGGCACAACGAAAAACAGCUCAUUGGGGUAGUGAAGUCAAGGUUUAGGUGUAUCGACCGUUCUGGUGGAGUGCUCCAGUACACUCCUGAGAGGGCAUGUACAAUUAUUACCUGUGCUUUUAUCCUCCACAACAUCUGAAUUAUGUACCUCUUGCCAAUCCCUGACAUCCCAGAUGAUGAUGACCCCGAGGGAGAUGUCCCAGUCCCUGCCCCAUGUAACACUUGUGCAAGUGAGACAAGACCUCAAUAAAAAAAAACACAAUAAACAACAAAUGAAAACCUCUGAGUGAUUGCUAUUUUAUUCUAGGUUCAACAUUCUUUUUUUUUUUAAAUCAAACUUGGCUUGGGCAAGGCGAAGCUUCUCCCUCUCGACAAGCAGCUUUUCCCUCUCCACCUGCAGAAGUUGCUCCUGAGUAUGCCUCAGCAUUUUAACUUCCUCCAAAAGCUGACGCUGAAGGGAGACCAUGUCCUCUGUCAGGGCAAACGUUUGAGCAGGCUAUUUUCCGAACCGUAAGGUAAAGCUGCAACCGGGUUGGCUAGCAUAUGUUUGGGACAGUCAAAGGUUUGCUGAUUAAAGUACUCAGACUCACCAUUUACUUUAUAUUCCACGGGCGUUGGGAAUGGGUUGGUCAACCUUGAUGGCGGUGGCAUGGGGGGCAAC